This 347-nucleotide long non-coding RNA is filed under the name Nicotiana benthamiana. RNAcentral describes it as "long non-coding RNA (NBEN_LNC013870)". Lineage: Eukaryota; Viridiplantae; Streptophyta; Magnoliopsida; Solanales; Solanaceae. The record is from RNAcentral.
AGAGCCAGGGCGCGUAUGGGUAGAUCAGCACCUGAAGGGGAGGUGUUAGAUAAUGAGGUGCGGAGUGAGGCGAAAUCGCCCGGAGCUUCUGACAAGUCUUCGGAACAGGUACCCGGGGGAGAUGGUUUUUUCCUUCAGACCUCUAUUUCUAGGAGUUUGUGACAAGUCUUCGAAACAGGUACCUGGGGGAGAUGGUUUUUUCCUUCAGACCUCUAUUUCUGUUAAAAGCGAUGCAUAUGAUUCAUCCCCGUCUAAGAAAUGUUCUCCAAUGAGACCACCAUUCUGGGAACUUCGGAAACAGUUUGGUGGUUCGCUGGAUGGUGAAUCUGCUUUACCUCCAUCAAAAC